AAAAGGUAUUGACCAGGUAUUUAACUUUUUUUCAUACAUGUGUUCCCUUUACACGUACAGAGCCUCUCAGUUCCCACCCACCACGUUUCAAGCGCUCAAUAGCCUCAUGUGGCCAGUGUCUGCUAUAUUUGACAGCACAGAUAUAGAACAGUUCCGUCAUUGUAAAAAGUAUUGUGGGAGAAUGAAGCUCUAGAAGAUAGACAGAAUUAUUAUCUCCACUUUCCGAGGUGGAAAGAAACUCAGUGAGGCCCUAGGUCACACAGCUGGUAAGUGGCAGAUCCAGGAAGCUGGGUGUGACUGUCACCACAGCUCAUGUCCUUCUUAGCUACACAGUCUCCUGAAAACCCUGGUUUCUCUCUGUGUCCCCCAGGGCCCAGGGGCUGGCCAAAUGACCUCUGACCUCAACUCAUUAGGACAACCUAACCCCUGAGAAGUCUAGAGACAUAGCAGAAAGUCUAUGUCUCUCAACAAUCUAUUGCUGCAUCACAAAAACCCCAAAACUUAGUGGCUUAAAACAAUCCUAUUUCUUAUGAUUCUGUAGGUCAUGGGGAUGGGUCAUCCCUGUUCCACGUGGUAUUGACUAGGGUGGCUUGACAGGGGCCUAAGGGGCCCAGGCUGGCCUCUCUCACACAGACGCAGCUGGCACGGUUCAAAUAUCUGUAUGCUGCCUGGGACAACUGGGUCCCUUUACCUAUGAUGUUGGCUGGAGCCUCAGUUUUCACUCUCCUGGCCUCUAUCUCCACGUGGCCGCUCCUCCUGCAGGGUGACUUGGACUGAUUUACACGUCAAUUUGUUUUUCUCUGAGCUGAUGCGGAAGCUACAAGGUCCCUUCAGGUCUGAGCUCAGUAAUCUCAAGACAUCCCUCCUGCCACAUUCCAUUGGUCAAAUCAAGUCAGGCAGCCCAGAUUCAAGGAUACGGGGAAAAAGACCCCACCUGUUGAAGGGAGGAAGGCAUGUGCAUGCAGAGAUGGGAGGAAUUGUUGGCAGCCAUCUUUGCAGAGAAACUCUCACAGAAUGAGUCUCUGGGCCAUGGAGACAGGGGCUGGAGUUUGGGGGCUUCUUGGCCCAGCCUCACUCUUGCUGAUCCUCAGAGCACCUUGCCCUGUGUCAAACAAUUUGCUGACAUGGGCGGAGAAGCUUUCCUGGAUGAAGUGUCACAGCAGGCUGAGAAAGGGCAGGGACACGGGAGGGAGGCUGUUUGCUAGGCUCCUCCCUCAGGGAGUCCAGAGACAGCAUGAGUCUGAGUGCCACCUCAGACAAUGACAGGAAUGCAGAGCAUUCUGGAACCUUCAGGACUCCACAAAGACCAACCAAUAAACCUUUCAAGGUCAAAACAGUCUAGGAGCUAAAGCUACUAAGAAAGAGACAGCUGGAGGUAAGAUGGCCCGUACUGGGAGAGAGACCCCAGAGGAGAGAGCAGGUGGAAGGGGUUUCAAAGUGGAAACCCACUUUGAAGAGAGUACUGGGGUCCAGGAGAAGAAAGUCAAGGAUGCCUGGAAACGAGGCAUUGGACCAAGACAUGGAACCCAGGACACAGACGUGGAACCCUGGAACAGCUGGAUAACAUCUAUAAAGAGAAAUUUCCCAUCAUCAAUUAAUUGGUAACCUGAAGUAAAGUUCAUAUGUUAAUGGCAGCAUGAGCACCUUAUUUUUUCUCUGUAUUUACCUGUUUUCAAAAUAAUCCAAUGGCUCUCGAACGUCCUCCAAAGAUGACCUAUGAGGAUUGGUUUGGUUUGGUUUAGUUUAGUAUCAUUGUAAACUCAUGGAUUUAAACAUAUUUGAUGUGCUUUAAUCCAUUGCAGCUAUUAUCCUUGUGUUCCAAUCAUUAGCCAUGGACCCUUUUUCAAGUUUGCUUCCGGGUCUUUGUAUCUACAAUCUUGGAAGUCUUUGAUAUAUCUUUGCUUUCUAGAAAGACAAGACAUUCCAGGCUUACCUUGUACAUUUCCUACCUUAGAUCUCA
This 1960-nucleotide long non-coding RNA is filed under the name Homo sapiens (human). RNAcentral describes it as "HSALNT0354892". The record is from RNAcentral. Lineage: Eukaryota; Metazoa; Chordata; Mammalia; Primates; Hominidae.